Molecule: ribosomal RNA, 228 nt
Filed under: uncultured archaeon
Lineage: Archaea
Description: partial 16S ribosomal RNA
Rfam family: Archaeal small subunit ribosomal RNA
Source: RNAcentral
GCUACUGCUGUUGGGGUUCGGCUAAGCCAUGCGAGUGGAGGGCGUCCCGCAAGGGAUGGCCCCGCAGACGGCUCAGUAACACGUCGUCAACCCACCUUAGGGUGGGGGACAACCUCGGGAAACUGAGGAUAAUCCCCCAUAGGCGGGGGAGGCUGGAAUGCACCCCCGCUGAAAGCUCAGGCGCCCCAGGACGGGACGGCGGCCUAUCAGGUAGUUGGUGGUGUGACG